RNAcentral lists this unclassified non-coding RNA (248 nucleotides) under uncultured fungus. RNAcentral describes it as "sequence contains ITS1". The record is from RNAcentral. Lineage: Eukaryota; Fungi.
GUAUAAACAAUUUCAUAAAUUUCCUUCCUAAUAUUACACUGGAGCAUGUGAAGAGGACGUAGAUCCAAGGAAAGCCCCACCAAAAGGGUCUCCCCCAUUCGCAAAGCAGUCCUAAUGAUCUACACAAGCGAUGCACAAAGAGAUGGAGAAAUGAGGGGACGACGAGCGUGCACGGCCAAGGGCCAGCGACAGCUCCAUCGCCUUUUCUUAUUUCGAUAAUGAUCCUUCCGCAGGUUCACCUACGGAAA